CCGUCGAUUUUGAAACCAAACUUUGAUCUGCUUGGGCUCUAUGUUGGAGAGAAUAGGGCAUUCCCUGAUCAACUGUUGGCGGCGCAUAGAGCUUGGCUUAGGACAUUCAUGGUAGAGUCUCUCAAGCGCUUCCACCUGCUCCGGUGUGUACCUAACGUACUUGCCGUUGUCCAUUGCCAUCUUGCUUCCCCCAUCCUUGCAGGCCGAAGUUACCGCCAUCAUCACUUCGUUUCACGAAACACUGCGCAGAUCGGGUCGCCGCCCC
This 265-nucleotide unclassified non-coding RNA is filed under the name Hevea brasiliensis (rubber tree). The record is from RNAcentral. Lineage: Eukaryota; Viridiplantae; Streptophyta; Magnoliopsida; Malpighiales; Euphorbiaceae.